Long non-coding RNA from Chelonia mydas (Green sea turtle), 1059 nucleotides. RefSeq lists it as uncharacterized. The transcript is spliced from 5 exons. NCBI's taxonomy places the organism in Eukaryota, Metazoa, Chordata, Testudines, Cheloniidae. The record is from RefSeq and is a predicted model, not a curated record.
GCUUCCAGGUUAGUAGCAGCAAGGAAAAAAACCCCAAGCUUCUCCAGGGUGAGAGGCUAUGCCCUUCCCCAUAGGGGAAACAUCCAGACCUGAGUGUCUGCUGGGGAAGGACUGACUCUCCUGGGCAAACAAGAAGACAACACCCUGUCCUAGUGAGGAGGCAGAGAAAGACAUCCUGGUAGAAGUGGGUGAUGAAGAGGGAAAUGAAAGAAGGACAGGGGAGAAUGUGCCAUACAAAAAGGGUGUUGUGGAAGAAAGUUCGAAGGUGUUUACAGGAGCAGAGGCUGAAGGCUGGCAUAACUGGUGACAUCAGACACAAUAGCACAUGCAUAGGAAGGGCUAAAAUGUGAAGCGACUUAAAGGAACAAAGAAAAUGCCAUAUAGGAUGAGACCAGUGAGCCAGCUGUUCUUCUGUUAACUCAGGAUGUCAUGACCUUGAGCCUGUUCCAGGUGGUUACAAGCCCAGUGCAUGAGGAUGGCUACCUUUUGGUUCUUGUUGUUUGGAUGGAGGAGGAGAUUUAUUAUAAUUUUAUCAAGUCAGAUUAUCUCCUCAUCAUGUUUGAAGUCAGACCUCCUUUUUGAGCAAAAACCCUGUCACUUAUCUGCCUUGCUGAAAGAAACUGAUGGACCCAGGUACAACUGCUCAGUUUCUGACUGGAGUGAUGCAUCGACAGUGACAGAGCCCAGAUACUAUGUGCUGCUUACACUGAGACGCUGGAACUUGCUCCCACACUUGAUCUAAAAUAACCCAAAUUUGCUAACCGGGAAACCAACCUGCAAGGCUCUGAAAUCUCCAAUUGCUUGGCAGAUGGACAAUAACAAUAUACCUAUGUCAAUUCCACUUUCCUGCUUUUCACCAGACCCUUCCACUUUUUCCUCUCUAGAAACAAAACUCGGGCCUUAAAUAUUCUGUAUUAAGGAAAAGGUCAUAAGGGGCAUGAUCUUUGGUGGUGUUAACUAUGAAUUUCCUUGCAUUAGAUGGAAAUUGGUUCAAAACAGGAUGUAAUCUGGAAACUAGGAAUGACCCCUUCCCAAUAAAAGUAAGGAAAUUCACUUUAA